RNAcentral lists this ribosomal RNA (254 nucleotides) under uncultured bacterium. RNAcentral describes it as "partial small subunit ribosomal RNA". It matches the Rfam family "Bacterial small subunit ribosomal RNA", at positions 26 to 285 of the family's 1533-position model. The record is from RNAcentral.
AGGAUGAACGCUGGCGGCGUGCUUAACACAUGCAAGUCGAGCGGAAAGGCCCUUCGGGGUACUCGAGCGGCGAACGGGUGAGUAACACGUGAGUAAUCUGCCCCUAGCUCUGGGGAUAGCUCCGGGAAAACCGGGAUUAAUACCUGAUAUGACCACUUUAGACAUCUGCUGUGGUGGAAAGAUUUCGGCUAGGGAUGAGCUCGCGGCCUAUCAGCUUGUUGGUGGGGUAACGCCUACCAAGGCGACGACGGGUA